AAUUUAAAUUGUUUAAUUUUAAAUUUUAAAAUUUGAUAUUUUAAAUUUUUUUAUUUAGAAUUUGAUAUUUUGUAUUUUUAAAUUAAAAUUUCAUCUUAAAUUUAAAUUUUAAAAUUUAAAUUUUUUAAAAUUGUAAAUUUAAGAUUUUAAAAUUUUAAAAUUUAAAAGUUUAUACUUUAAAUUCUAAAAUAUAAAUAUAAAAUAUAAAAAUUUAAAUUCUAAUAUAAAGAAAGGGAUAAUAUUAUUAUUUUUUUAUUUAUAACUACCCACUUUAAUUCUUAUUUCAUCUUACCUUAUUCCCAAAAUAACCUAAUUUUCAUCCAAACAUAAAAUUAAUCUAAUCCCCGGUUAUACCUCAAUUUAUAGUUAUCCAUGAAAUAACCAUUUUUUGCUUAUCCCUGAACCAAACGGUACCCAAAUGUUUAAAAUUCUAUUUGCGUUUCCAGAAUAGAAAAAUUGAUAGUCAAGGGUGCAAAUCUUAUACCUAUUUUACGGGUAUAAAAAGUAUGGAAACACCUUGAUGGGUAAGUUAUUUUCAAAUGAACCCCUUAACUUCCAAUUUGGUGCAAUCAAGUGAACUUUUACCAAAAAGAACUAAAAAUUUGAAAGUGAAGAAGGUCUCAAUAACAAGAGAGAAAUGCUAUCUUCCCUAGAUAUAAAUCUUAUACCCACUUUUCUAACAGCUUGGUUAUUGUUUUUUAAUCUCUUGUAUUAAAAUAUAAUAAAAAGAUUAGCAGAAGUUAUUGAUACUUUGAUAGAUAAGAUAUAAGAGUUGCACGAACAUUGAUUGUCCAAGUUGAGGGGUCACCAUAACAUUUUUGGGAUAAUUGUCUAUGUACCCCUCAAAACCUAUAAAUAUUUUAUUUAUCCCUUUCAAAUAUUUCCCCUCAUAUAUUUCUGCGUUACUUAAAAGUAUUUCUGCUGUUCGUGCCCAUUAAGUUAUCUCGGAUUAAUUAUGAGUUGAAUUUCUACCAUAGUUAAAAAAUAAUAAAAAUACCUAUUUUGCUCCUAAAUUAGGGAUAAAUAAGAAUAGCCGGUGGCGGUAAAGGGUAUAUUUAGAAAGGCAAAAUGUCAAAAUAUUUUUUUUGUGCUUGACUUAAGGACAAACAAGAAAAGUUUGUGACGGUAAAAGUGUAUAUUUAAAAGGAUAAAAUCACAAUUUUACAUAAAUAAUGGCUUUUUCUAACAAUUCACUAAUAGAAUUUAACUCUAAAAUAUAUUUGAAAAACUUUUGAACCUUAAAAGAGUAUUUUUAAUAUUAACCUCCUAAGAGAGAUAGAUAAGAAGUUGAAAAAUUUUCAGAAGUAUAAAAAAAUUACCCUAUUUUUAUCUAAUAAUAAAUGAAGUGAUGUAGAGGAAGUCUAUUAUAUCACACUUGUACCGUAUCAUCAAUAACAAGUUAAUCACAUAUAUUCUUUUGAAAAAAAAUAAUAAUAAAAAUAUUUUUUUUAUAAUAAUGAUAAGACCGGUAAAUUUUUUAAAAUUUAUUUAAUUAGUUGGAAACACCAGUUCACUAAUAUAACCAGUAUAUUCUCGAAUUU
This 1541-nucleotide long non-coding RNA is filed under the name Ananas comosus (pineapple). RNAcentral's name for it is "long non-coding RNA (ACOM_LNC018040)". The record is from RNAcentral. Lineage: Eukaryota; Viridiplantae; Streptophyta; Magnoliopsida; Poales; Bromeliaceae.